RNAcentral lists this ribosomal RNA (500 nucleotides) under uncultured bacterium. RNAcentral's name for it is "bacterial SSU rRNA". It matches the Rfam family "Bacterial small subunit ribosomal RNA", at positions 29 to 517 of the family's 1533-position model. The record is from RNAcentral.
AGUGAACGCUGGCGGCAGGCCUAAUACAUGCAAGUCGAACGGCAGCACAGCAGAGCUUGCUCUGUGGGUGGCGAGUGGCGGACGGGUGAGGAAUACAUGGGAAUCUGCCCAGUCGUGGGGGAUAACGUAGGGAAACUUACGCUAAUACCGCAUGCGCCCUUCGGGGGAAAGCCGGGGACCUUCGGGCCUGGCGCGAUUGGAUGAGCCCAUGUCGGAUUAGCUAGUUGGCGGGGUAAAGGCCCACCAAGGCGACGAUCCGUAGCUGGUCUGAGAGGAUGAUCAGCCACACUGGAACUGAGACACGGUCCAGACUCCUACGGGAGGCAGCAGUAGGGAAUAUUGGACAAUGGGCGCAAGCCUGAUCCAGCCAUGCCGCGUGAGUGAAGAAGGCCCUCGGGUUGUAAAGCUCUUUUGUCCGGAAAGAAAAGCGCCGGGUUAAUACCCUGGUGUCCUGACGGUACCGGAAGAAUAAGCACCGGCUAACUUCGUGCCAGCAGCCG